GGGGAAUAUUGGACAAUGGGCGCAAGCCUGAUCCAGCCAUGCCGCGUGAGUGACGAAGGCCUUAGGGUUGUAAAGCUCUUUUGGCGGGGACGAUAAUGACGGUACCCGCAGAAUAAGCCCCGGCUAACUUCGUGCCAGCAGCCGCGGUAAUACGAAGGGGGCUAGCGUUGUUCGGAAUUACUGGGCGUAAAGCGCACGUAGGCGGAUGUGCCAGUCAGGGGUGAAAUCCCGAGGCUCAACCUCGGAACUGCCUCCGAUACAGCACGUCUCGAGUCCGGAAGAGGUGAGUGGAAUUCCUAGUGUAGAGGUGAAAUUCGUAGAUAUUAGGAAGAACACCAGUGGCGAAGGCGGCUCACUGGUCCGGUACUGACGCUGAGGUGCGAAAGCGUGGGGAGCAAAC
RNAcentral lists this ribosomal RNA (400 nucleotides) under uncultured bacterium. RNAcentral describes it as "bacterial SSU rRNA". It matches the Rfam family "Bacterial small subunit ribosomal RNA", at positions 356 to 773 of the family's 1533-position model. The record is from RNAcentral.